AUGCAUGUCCUGAUUCCGCCACUAGAGGUCACUGUCCCACCACAAUCUCCCCACGCCGAGUUCCACCUCCCUUCCCUCUUAACUCAAAUUAGCACGGUAUUAAUUAACACUGUAGUCUAUCAACCGGCGUUCCUCGGCACACUGCAAAGGCAGGGUUUGUGUAGAACAAAGAAAACAACAACAAACACUAACGUUCAUUUUAUUUUCCAAGGGCCACCAAACAAAUCCUUCGUCAUCCCUCACAAACCGGAAGGCGGACGUCCAAGAAUCAGACAUCUGGAGAUAAUGAUACGGCAUGACAAUCACACAAAAAAGAUGCAGGACUUUUCUAACUUGAUCUGAAGAUGCCAGGCAAGGUGUGUUCUCUGCCACUAAGGUCUCCUACAGCUACCUGCUUCUCAUCUGCUCCAGUCUCAUGAAUUUUAUCUUCACAUUCUUCCCAACCCAUGAUAUCAAAUUCCUUCCCCACUCCACCCUCUUAAAUGUGUAAGGUUUCAAUCCAUCAUCUGGCUACUGUUUGGAUGUGUUGGUAUAGGUUUCUUUCAGAAUGGCUGUUUUGAAACCAAAGAGGACAGUAUCCAACACGGUAUCCAUCACGGUAUCCAACAGUAUCCAUCACAAUCUGAAUCCUCCCUCAUCUCUUGCCAAAAACUCAGGCAGUGUCAAUUUGUAAAAUACUGAAAGAGUGGCAAUCAGAGCAAGAGGAUAGUACCAUUAUCAGCAGAUGCUGCAAAGAAGAAGAAGAAGAAGAAGAAGAAGAAGAAGAAGAAGAAGAAGAAGAAGAAGCUGUAAACAUUUUAUUUUAUGCCGACCCCUUUUGAAUAACUUGUUUGACUUGGCACUAGUUGUUUUUGCUCCCAUGGCAAAACAACAGUAGCCACAAGAACAGAGAAGCAGGACUUGGUAAAGGCUUCAGGCUGCUCUUGGGAAAGGACAAGCCGUAAACCAGCUGAAGAGCUGCAAGGAUUAUCCUCAUUGGGGGAUAGAGAAGACAUGCAGAGAACUCCUGGAUUCCCUGUUGCAAUAUUUUUCUCUUGUCUAUGCAGACCAUGGCUUGUUUUAACUGCCUGUCAUGCCUAACCAUCACAAUACAAUGACCACUCUGUUUCGUUUAUUAAUUUUUCUCCCUUUCUCUCUCUUCUCCGGAUUGGGUAUACAUUGUUUUUGAGAUGCAGAUUCAGAUGCACGGGGAUUCAGAGUGCUCUUAGACAUGUCACUGCCACUGGAUUUUCAGCUGGACUCUUUUGCCAAAUUAGCUGCUGUACUAGAACUUAGAAGACCUGAGUUCAAAUUCCCACUUGGCCAUGGAAACUCAUGGGGUGGGUGUCGAACUGUUAAAACCACUGCUUAAAUAACUCACAUAUCUUGGAAACUGUUAUAAGCCAGCUCCAAAUUGAUAGUACAUAAUAUAAUCAUAUAGAGUGGACAACCACAACAAGCUGUCUCACAAGUGUGGAAGUCAUGUAGCUGCUAGAGAGCACAUUUUUGUAGCCACCAGGCUCCUCCCAUCUGCCCUAGAUGGCCCCUUAAUUGAAAAGAAGAAGAAGAAGAAGAAGAAGAAGAAGAAGAAGAAGAAGAAGAAGAAGCUGCACCUUGUUUUGCCCCUCCCCCAGGAGUUCUAAUUUGAUGGAAGCAUGUUUAAUAUAACUUAAGCAUGAAUGGGUUCAUGGGUUUUUAAGGGUUGUUCAUUCAGAAUUGCUAUUUUGUGUGGGCAUUCACAACUUGCUUGACUGUCAACUAUCGUAUUCUGGAACAAUUAUUGUAUUUCAUGACUGUAUUCUGGAACAACAACCCAUGAACUUAUCUAGGCUUCUUAUUUGUUUACAAAUAAAAGGACAGUCAUCACAUAUUCA
RNAcentral lists this long non-coding RNA (1853 nucleotides) under Pogona vitticeps (central bearded dragon). Its description in RNAcentral is "lncRNA (ENSPVIG00000011595.1)". Lineage: Eukaryota; Metazoa; Chordata; Lepidosauria; Squamata; Agamidae. The record is from RNAcentral.